Molecule: ribosomal RNA, 1063 nt
Filed under: Salmonella enterica subsp. enterica serovar Enteritidis
Lineage: Bacteria; Pseudomonadati; Pseudomonadota; Gammaproteobacteria; Enterobacterales; Enterobacteriaceae
Description: partial 23S ribosomal RNA
Rfam family: Bacterial large subunit ribosomal RNA
Source: RNAcentral
CAGUGUGACUCGUCACACUAUCAUUAACUGAAUCCAUAGGUUAAUGAGGCGAACCGGGGGAACUGAAACAUCUAAGUACCCCGAGGAAAAGAAAUCAACCGAGAUUCCCCCAGUAGCGGCGAGCGAACGGGGAGGAGCCCAGAGCCUGAAUCAGCAUGUGUGUUAGUGGAAGCGUCUGGAAAGGCGCGCGAUACAGGGUGACAGCCCCGUACACAAAAGCGCAUGUGCUGUGAGCUCGAUGAGUAGGGCGGGACACGUGGUAUCCUGUCUGAAUAUGGGGGGACCAUCCUCCAAGGCUAAAUACUCCUGACUGACCGAUAGUGAACCAGUACCGUGAGGGAAAGGCGAAAAGAACCCCGGCGAGGGGAGUGAAAAAGAACCUGAAACCGUGUACGUACAAGCAGUGGGAGCACCCUUUGGGUGUGACUGCGUACCUUUUGUAUAAUGGGUCAGCGACUUAUAUUCUGUAGCAAGGUUAACCGAAUAGGGGAGCCGGAGGGAAACCGAGUCUUAACCGGGCGUUAAGUUGCAGGGUAUAGACCCGAAACCCGGUGAUCUAGCCAUGGGCAGGUUGAAGGUUGGGUAACACUAACUGGAGGACCGAACCGACUAAUGUUGAAAAAUUAGCGGAUGACCUGUGGCUGGGGGUGAAAGGCCAAUCAAACCGGGAGAUAGCUGGUUCUCCCCGAAAGCUAUUUAGGUAGCGCCUCGUGAAUUCAUCUCCGGGGGUAGAGCACUGUUUCGGCUAGGGGGCCAUCCCGGCUUACCAACCCGAUGCAAACUGCGAAUACCGGAGAAUGUUAUCACGGGAGACACACGGCGGGUGCUAACGUCCGUCGUGAAGAGGGAAACAACCCAGACCGCCAGCUAAGGUCCCAAAGUCAUGGUUAAGUGGGAAACGAUGUGGGAAGGCCCAGACAGCCAGGAUGUUGGCUUAGAAGCAGCCAUCAUUUAAAGAAAGCGUAAUAGCUCACUGGUCGAGUCGGCCUGCGCGGAAGAUGUAACGGGGCUAAACCAUGCACCGAAGCUGCGGCAGCGACACUGUGUGUUGUUGGGUAGGGGA